RNAcentral lists this ribosomal RNA (431 nucleotides) under uncultured bacterium. Its description in RNAcentral is "partial 16S ribosomal RNA". It matches the Rfam family "Bacterial small subunit ribosomal RNA", at positions 29 to 507 of the family's 1533-position model. The record is from RNAcentral.
AACGAACGCUGGCGGCAGGCCUAACACAUGCAAGUCGAGCGCCCUUUCGGGGGAGCGGCGGACGGGUGAGUAACGCGUGGGAAUAUGCCCUUCUCUACGGAAUAGCCUCGGGAAACUGAGAGUAAUACCGUACACGCCCUGUGGGGGAAAGAUUUAUCGGGGAAGGAUUAGCCCGCGUUGGAUUAGGUAGUUGGUGGGGUAAUGGCCUACCAAGCCGACGAUCCAUAGCUGGUUUGAGAGGAUGAUCAGCCACACUGGGACUGAGACACGGCCCAGACUCCUACGGGAGGCAGCAGUGGGGAAUCUUAGACAAUGGGGGCAACCCUGAUCUAGCCAUGCCGCGUGAGUGAUGAAGGCCUUAGGGUUGUAAAGCUCUUUCAGCUGGGAAGAUAAUGACGGUACCAGCAGAAGAAGCCCCGGCUAACUCCGUG